CAGGGAUAGCUCAGCGGUAGAGCGGCUGCCUGUUAAGCAGCAACGCGAGGGUUCGAAUCCCUCUCCCUG
This 69-nucleotide transfer RNA is filed under the name marine eukaryotic metagenome. It matches the Rfam family "tRNA". Rfam says of the family: Transfer RNA (tRNA) molecules are approximately 80 nucleotides in length. Their secondary structure includes four short double-helical elements and three loops (D, anti-codon, and T loops). Further hydrogen bonds mediate the characteristic L-shaped molecular structure. tRNAs have two regions of fundamental functional importance: the anti-codon, which is responsible for specific mRNA codon recognition, and the 3' end, to which the tRNAs corresponding amino acid is attached (by aminoacyl-tRNA synthetases). tRNAs cope with the degeneracy of the genetic code in two manners: having more than one tRNA (with a specific anti-codon) for a particular amino acid; and 'wobble' base-pairing, i.e. permitting non-standard base-pairing at the 3rd anti-codon position. The record is from RNAcentral.